RNAcentral lists this transfer-messenger RNA (399 nucleotides) under Croceitalea sp. P059. It matches the Rfam family "transfer-messenger RNA". From Rfam's summary of the family: Bacterial tmRNA, also known as 10Sa RNA or SsrA, is named for its dual tRNA and mRNA-like properties. Lineage: Bacteria; Pseudomonadati; Bacteroidota; Flavobacteriia; Flavobacteriales; Flavobacteriaceae. The record is from RNAcentral.
GGGGCCGACUGGUUUUGACAGCGAGACCAAUUGGAAUGUAAGCAUGCCGAGCUAUGGAAGUAAUGCUCGUUAAAAUCUAUUCCACACUUUUAAUUGGCGAUAAUAACUACGCUCUUGCCGCUUAAUCUGAAUUAUAGUAAGAUUAGCCUCGUCGCUACUAGGUAGCGAAGCGAGAUGUCUCAGAAUAGCCCUUGUUGACGGCGAUUCAUUUUGAGGCACCAUAAAAGUCAACAUAAGGCUUUUGUUCGCUUUGACAAUAGCACUAAAACUUUAAGAAGCUAAGCGUAAGAUAGGCGGUUUUUGGUCGGUCUUGCGUCUAAAAUUGAACAAAAACUAAGCAUGUAGAAAGCCUUUUAAUUGCUUGUUUGGACGGGAGUUCGAUUCUCCCCGGCUCCACAA